RNAcentral lists this ribosomal RNA (253 nucleotides) under uncultured bacterium. RNAcentral describes it as "partial 16S ribosomal RNA". It matches the Rfam family "Bacterial small subunit ribosomal RNA", at positions 524 to 776 of the family's 1533-position model. The record is from RNAcentral.
UACGGAGGUGGCAAGCGUUGCUCGGAAUUACUGGGCGUAAAGCGUGCGCAGGCGGUUGUGCAAGACCGAUGUGAAAGCCCCGGGCUUAACCUGGGAAUGGCAUUGGUGACUGCACGGCUAGAGUGUGUCAGAGGGGGGUAGAAUUCCACGUGUAGCAGUGAAAUGCGUAGAGAUGUGGAGGAAUACCGAUGGCGAAGGCAGCCCCCUGGGAUAACACUGACGCUCAUGCACGAAAGCGUGGGGAGCAAACAGG